This 253-nucleotide ribosomal RNA is filed under the name uncultured bacterium. RNAcentral describes it as "partial 16S ribosomal RNA". It matches the Rfam family "Bacterial small subunit ribosomal RNA", at positions 524 to 776 of the family's 1533-position model. The record is from RNAcentral.
UACGUAGGGCGCAAGCGUUGUCCGGAAUUAUUGGGCGUAAAGAGCUCGUAGGCGGCUUGUCACGUCGGGUGUGAAAGCCCGGGGCUUAACCCCGGGUCUGCAUUCGAUACGGGCUGGCUAGAGUGUGGUAGGGGAGAUCGGAAUUCCUGGUGUAGCGGUGAAAUGCGCAGAUAUCGGGAGGAACACCGGUGGCGAAGGCGGAUCUCUGGGCCAUUACUGACGCUGAGGAGCGAAAGCGUGGGGAGCGAACAGG